This 253-nucleotide ribosomal RNA is filed under the name uncultured bacterium. RNAcentral's name for it is "partial 16S ribosomal RNA". It matches the Rfam family "Bacterial small subunit ribosomal RNA", at positions 524 to 776 of the family's 1533-position model. The record is from RNAcentral.
UACCAAGGGUGCAAGCGUUACUCGGAAUUACUGGGCGUAAAGCGUGCGUAGGUGGUCGUUUAAGUCCGUUGUGAAAGCCCUGGGCUCAACCUGGGAACUGCAGUGGAUACUAGGCGACUAGAGUGUGGUAGAGGGUAGCGGAAUUCCUGGUGUAGCAGUGAAAUGCGUAGAGAUCAGGAGGAACAUCCAUGGCGAAGGCAGCUACCUGGACCAACACUGACACUGAGGCACGAAAGCGUGGGGAGCAAACAGG